Molecule: ribosomal RNA, 460 nt
Filed under: uncultured bacterium
Lineage: Bacteria
Description: partial 16S ribosomal RNA
Rfam family: Bacterial small subunit ribosomal RNA
Source: RNAcentral
CCUACGGGGGGCAGCAGUGAGGAAUAUUGGUCAAUGGACGAGAGUCUGAACCAGCCAAGCAGCGUGAAGGAUGACUGCUCUAUGGGUUGUAAACUUCUUUUAUAUGGGAGUAAAACAGGGUAUGCAUACCCUCUUGUAUGUAUCAUAUGAAUAAGGAUCGGCUAACUCCGUGCCAGCAGCCGCGGUAAUACGGAGGAUCCGAGCGUUAUCCGGAUUUAUUGGGUUUAAAGGGAGCGUAGGUGGAUGGAUAAGUCAGUUGUGAAAGUUUGCGGCUCAACCGUAAAAUUGCAGUUGAAACUGGUAGUCUAGAGAACAGUAGAGGUAGGCGGAAUGCGUGGUGUAGCGGUGAAAUGCUUAGAGAUCACGAAGAACUCCGAUUGCGAAGGCAGCUCACUGGACUGCAACUGACAUUGAUGCUCGAAAGUGUGGGUAUCAAACAGGAUUAGAUACCCGGGUAGUC